GACGAACGCUGGCGGCGUGCUUAACACAUGCAAGUCGAACGGAAAGGCCCUGCUUUUGUGGGGUGCUCGAGUGGCGAACGGGUGAGUAACACGUGAGUAACCUGCCCUUGACUUUGGGAUAACUUCAGGAAACUGGGGCUAAUACCGGAUAGGAGCUCCUGCUGCAUGGUGGGGGUUGGAAAGUUUCGGCGGUUGGGGAUGGACUCGCGGCUUAUCAGCUUGUUGGUGGGGUAGUGGCUUACCAAGGCUUUGACGGGUAGCCGGCAUGAGAGGUUGAACGGCCACAUUGGGACUGAGAGACGGACCAGACUGCUACGGGAGGCAGCAGUGGGGAAUAUUGCACAAUGGGCGGAAGCCUGAUGCAGCAACGCCGGGUGCGGGAUGACGGCCUUCGGGUGGUAAACCGCUUUCGCCUGUGACGAAGCGUGAGUGACGGUAAUGGGUAAAGAAGCACCGGCUAACUACGUG
Molecule: ribosomal RNA, 468 nt
Filed under: uncultured bacterium
Lineage: Bacteria
Description: partial 16S ribosomal RNA
Rfam family: Bacterial small subunit ribosomal RNA
Source: RNAcentral